AUUGAACGCUGGCGGCAGGCCUAACACAUGCAAGUCGAGCGAGGGGAGGAGGGGGGAGAUAUGUCUGGGAAACCGCCUGAUGGAGGGGGAUAACAACUGGAAACGGUAGCUAAUACCGCAUACCAACAGAUGCGCACAGAUGGGAUGAGCGAGUAGGUGGGGUAAUGGCUCACAUAGGCGACGAUCCCUAGCUGGUCUGAGAGGAUGACCCGCCACACUGGAACUGAGACACGGUCCAGACUCCGACGGGAGGCAGCAGUGGGGAAUAUUGCACAAUGGGCGCAAGCCUGAUGCAGCCAUGCCGCAUGUGUGAAGAAGGCCUUCGGGUUGUAAAGCACUUUCAGCGAGGAGGCGUUACUCGCAGAAGAAGCACCGGCUAACUCCGUGCCAGCAGCCGCGGUAAUUC
This 406-nucleotide ribosomal RNA is filed under the name uncultured bacterium. RNAcentral describes it as "partial 16S ribosomal RNA". It matches the Rfam family "Bacterial small subunit ribosomal RNA", at positions 29 to 526 of the family's 1533-position model. The record is from RNAcentral.